UUGACCUCGGAUCAGGUAGGGAUACCCGCUGAACUUAAGCAUAUCAAUAAGCGGAGGAAAAGAAACCAACAGGGAUUGCCUCAGUAACGGGAAGGAAGCGGCAACAGCUCAAAUUGAAAUCUGCCUUUG
RNAcentral lists this ribosomal RNA (129 nucleotides) under Phaeophyscia pyrrhophora. Its description in RNAcentral is "partial 28S ribosomal RNA". It matches the Rfam family "Eukaryotic large subunit ribosomal RNA", at positions 1 to 129 of the family's 3401-position model. Lineage: Eukaryota; Fungi; Ascomycota; Lecanoromycetes; Caliciales; Physciaceae. The record is from RNAcentral.